This 74-nucleotide transfer RNA is filed under the name Streptomyces hygroscopicus subsp. jinggangensis TL01. RNAcentral describes it as "tRNA-Ala". The record is from RNAcentral. Lineage: Bacteria; Bacillati; Actinomycetota; Actinomycetes; Kitasatosporales; Streptomycetaceae.
AAGAUCCCGUCGGUCAUCAUGACCGGUCGGGAUCUUCGUCGUUUCCGGCGGCGACAGCGGCAGCGGCGGAGGCG